CAGUCGCCGCGGUAAAACGGAGGAUCCAAGCGUUAUCCGGAAUCAUUGGGUUUAAAGGGUCCGUAGGCGGUCUUGUAAGUCAGUGGUGAAAGCCCAUCGCUCAACGGUGGAACGGCCAUUGAUACUGCAGGACUUGAAUUAUUGGGAAGUAACUAGAAUAUGUAGUGUAGCGGUGAAAUGCUUAGAGAUUACAUGGAAUACCAAUUGCGAAGGCAGGUUACUACCAAUUGAUUGACGCUGAUGGACGAAAGCGUGGGUAGCGAACAGGAUUAGAUACCCCUGUAGUCCCUGUCUCUUAUAC
Molecule: ribosomal RNA, 301 nt
Filed under: uncultured bacterium
Lineage: Bacteria
Description: partial 16S ribosomal RNA
Rfam family: Bacterial small subunit ribosomal RNA
Source: RNAcentral